Long non-coding RNA from Antechinus flavipes (yellow-footed antechinus), 348 nucleotides. RefSeq lists it as uncharacterized. NCBI's taxonomy places the organism in Eukaryota, Metazoa, Chordata, Mammalia, Dasyuromorphia, Dasyuridae. The record is from RefSeq and is a predicted model, not a curated record. The transcript has 2 exons.
CUGUCUACUUGCUGGACCUUCGACCUGCAGGAAAGACCCAGCUUUUUCCUCUUAAUGGAAAUGAUGGAAAAACUGCCCAAACUGAACCGGCACCUCUCUCACCCAGGCCACUUCUGAAAAUCGGCUGAUCGCUGGCGGAAUCGCUACUCCAAAGGGCGCUACUACCACCCAGAAUUUAGGGGAACCUUCCGUCCCCUCUUGGAGGAAUAGAGUGUGUCCUGUUGGGUGCUCGUUUCUCACCCAUCAUACGUCCUGCAUCCAUUCUUCCCUCCCUUCAACCUUCUCCCCUAGCUCCUGACUCAUGUUUUUAUUUUUUAUUUCCAUGCAAUGAAGCGUGUUUUUUAAAAA